GGAUAGUUCGGUAUUGGUAAACCAGAUUACUUGCUACGUAAUUGCUAAAAGCUAUCAGCGUUCAAUUCGCUGGCUAUCCG
Molecule: transfer RNA, 80 nt
Filed under: Metschnikowia bicuspidata
Lineage: Eukaryota; Fungi; Ascomycota; Pichiomycetes; Serinales; Metschnikowiaceae
Description: tRNA-Ser
Source: RNAcentral